Molecule: long non-coding RNA, 439 nt
Filed under: Setaria italica (foxtail millet)
Lineage: Eukaryota; Viridiplantae; Streptophyta; Magnoliopsida; Poales; Poaceae
Description: long non-coding RNA (SITA_LNC004214)
Source: RNAcentral
UCACUUUAAGCACAUGACUAGCCUCUAAGCCAAAAGAUAAUGAGUUGCUAAGCAAAGAGGUGCUGAAAUAACCAGCCCCCAUCCCUAUUUAUAGUCCAGGACUAAAGACAAUACUACCCCUACAGCUACAACUAAGAUAACUACCCACGCAGGGGCAUUUUGGUCCAAGUUUUUAUCCGCGCAUCGGACGGACACGCCGCCUUCACGACUUUGCUUCACCUCGACGCAAGCUUCGCGAUGACGCCACGUGCCCUCCUUCUCGAAGCUCCGGCCGCACCGGGCUCGCCCCCGGUUUUGAGGCCCAAACCGGGAAACCUGCAUGCGCGAUGGUUUUGAGGCCCAAACCACCCAAACCGUCCAUCUUCGCUUGGCCGCCACGCGACCUCCUCGAUGUCGACGCGUGUCCGACCUCCGCCAAGCCUCCCGCUCGACUCGACCG